CUCAAAUUGGGUUUUAAGAUAGAAGCAUUUGUAGUCUUUUUUUUUUUUUUUUUCAAAAUUAGUUUAGCUCUAAAUUCUGAAGUUGGAUAUAAUAUUUUGUUUUUAAAUUUACUGGACUUGUGUGUAAAAUAAGAUUCUUCUCUCUAAACUCUAAGUUCUAGAGUUAACAAUGAAACCAAACGGGUAAACCCAGGUGGAUCGGCACUUUUGCCCUUAACAGCCCUUUUGACCGGCAAAACACAAUGCAAAUGCCGAAAAAAGGAUGAUUUCAAGAGAUUAUUCGAUCCGUCGCUCUGACGAAUGAGUUUCCCAAGUGGUCUCCUACUCGUCCUUAGUGUCGAAUUGACUCUGCCGGAUUAAGUUGCUGGGGAUUUCUUAUUGAAGGAGAAGUUGAGGUUGUUCUCGUUAUUGCUGGAGACGGUGUUUAAUUAUUUGUAUUAUUAUGGGUACAGAGUGAAGGCAAAUCUGGGGAGUUUAGCUGCACUAAUGUAUACCAAGAGCCAAGAGGUUUUACAUUCAAAUUCUUCAUCCCCAUUUACACUAAAAAUAAAUUCGAAAUUAUAGAUGUCAAAAUAAGUUUAGUUUAGUAAUCUUGGUUUCUUUCCCUAAAGGUGAAAUUAAAAGACCUUUUCGGUGAGAUUCAAUCCCUACUGCAAGUAUACUGAGAAAAACUUUAAAUUUUAGUUGGGUGAAAUUAUAGAGAAUACCAAAACAAAAUAAAAACCCUUUUGGGUAAAUAAAGAAAACCCUAGAAGAUAAAGAAAA
Long non-coding RNA from Cucumis melo (muskmelon), 765 nucleotides. RefSeq lists it as uncharacterized. The transcript has 2 exons. NCBI's taxonomy places the organism in Eukaryota, Viridiplantae, Streptophyta, Magnoliopsida, Cucurbitales, Cucurbitaceae. The record is from RefSeq and is a predicted model, not a curated record.